Molecule: ribosomal RNA, 847 nt
Filed under: Metabacillus indicus
Lineage: Bacteria; Bacillati; Bacillota; Bacilli; Caryophanales; Bacillaceae
Description: bacterial SSU rRNA
Rfam family: Bacterial small subunit ribosomal RNA
Source: RNAcentral
GGAGGUCAGCGGCGGACGGGUGAGUAACACGUGGGCAACCUGCCUGUAAGACUGGGAUAACUCCGGGAAACCGGAGCUAAUACCGGAUACUAUGUCAAACCGCAUGGUUUGACAUUCAAAGACGGUUUCGGCUGUCACUUACAGAUGGGCCCGCGGCGCAUUAGCUAGUUGGUGAGGUAAUGGCUCACCAAGGCGACGAUGCGUAGCCGACCUGAGAGGGUGAUCGGCCACACUGGGACUGAGACACGGCCCAGACUCCUACGGGAGGCAGCAGUAGGGAAUCUUCCGCAAUGGACGAAAGUCUGACGGAGCAACGCCGCGUGAGUGAUGAAGGUUUUCGGAUCGUAAAACUCUGUUGUCAGGGAAGAACAAGUGCCGGAGUAACUGCCGGCACCUUGACGGUACCUGACCAGAAAGCCACGGCUAACUACGUGCCAGCAGCCGCGGUAAUACGUAGGUGGCAAGCGUUGUCCGGAAUUAUUGGGCGUAAAGCGCGCGCAGGCGGUUUCUUAAGUCUGAUGUGAAAGCCCCCGGCUCAACCGGGGAGGGUCAUUGGAAACUGGGAAACUUGAGUGCAGAAGAGGAGAGUGGAAUUCCACGUGUAGCGGUGAAAUGCGUAGAGAUGUGGAGGAACACCAGUGGCGAAGGCGACUCUCUGGUCUGUAACUGACGCUGAGGCGCGAAAGCGUGGGGAGCGAACAGGAUUAGAUACCCUGGUAGUCCACGCCGUAAACGAUGAGUGCUAAGUGUUAGAGGGUUUCCGCCCUUUAGUGCUGCAGCUAACGCAUUAAGCACUCCGCCUGGGGAGUACGGUCGCAAGACUGAAACUCAAAGGAAUUGACGGGGG